RNAcentral lists this ribosomal RNA (500 nucleotides) under uncultured bacterium. RNAcentral's name for it is "partial 16S ribosomal RNA". It matches the Rfam family "Bacterial small subunit ribosomal RNA", at positions 30 to 523 of the family's 1533-position model. The record is from RNAcentral.
AUUGAACGCUGGCGGCAUGCUUUACACAUGCAAGUCGAACGGUAACAGGGUGCUUGCACCGCUGACGAGUGGCGAACGGGUGAGUAAUGCGUCGGAACGUGCCGAGUAGUGGGGGAUAACGCAGCGAAAGUUGUGCUAAUACCGCAUACGUACUGAGGUAGAAAGUGGGGGACCUUCGGGCCUUACGCUAUUCGAGCGGCCGACGUCUGAUUAGCUAGUAGGUGAGGUAAAGGCGCACCUAGGCGACGAUCAGUAGCGGGUCUGAGAGGAUGAUCCGCCACACUGGGACUGAGACACGGCCCAGACUCCUACGGGAGGCAGCAGUGGGGAAUUUUGGACAAUGGGCGAAAGCCUGAUCCAGCCAUGCCGCGUGUCUGAAGAAGGCCUUCGGGUGGUAAAGGACUUUUGUCAGGGAGGAAAUCCCUAGUGCUAGUAACACUGGGGGAUGACAGUACCUGAAGAAUAAGCACCGGCUAACUACGUGCCAGCCGCCGCCGUAA